CCUACGGGUGGCAGCAGUGAGGAAUAUUGGUCAAUGGGCGCGAGCCUGAACCAGCCAAGUCGCGUGAAGGAUGACUGCCCUACGGGUUGUAAACUUCUUUUAUCAAGGAAUAAAGUGAGGCACGUGUGCCCGUAUGUAUGUACUUUAUGAAUAAGGAUUGGCUAACUCCGGGCCAGCAGCCGCGGUAAUAAGGAGGAUCCGAGCGUUAGCCGGAUUUAUUGGGGUUAAAGGGAGCGUAGAUGGGUUGUUAAGUCAGUUGUGAAAGUUUGCGGCUCAACCGUCAUAUUGCAAUUGAUACUGGCAGUCUUGAGUAAAGUUGAGGUAGGCGGAAUUCGUGGUGUAGCGGUGAAAUGCUUAGAUAUCACGAAGAACUCCGAUUGCGAAGGCAGCUUACUAGACUGCCACUGACAUUGAUGCUCGAAAGUGUGGGUAUCAAACAGGAUUAGAUACCCUUGUAGUC
This 460-nucleotide ribosomal RNA is filed under the name uncultured bacterium. Its description in RNAcentral is "partial 16S ribosomal RNA". It matches the Rfam family "Bacterial small subunit ribosomal RNA", at positions 338 to 795 of the family's 1533-position model. The record is from RNAcentral.